AGUUGAAAAGGGGCUAGGUGUAAAACCCUAGUCGCCCUAUGCGCCUCUACACCUCCCCACGCCCUUACCCCUCCCCUCUAUGUUGUCACCGCCAUGAUGUCGGCAAGUAUGGUGGAUUCCAAAAAAAAAAAGGACGGAGCAUUGAAUGCUCGUCCUUUUUUGCCCCAUUUUUUGCUCAUUUUGUAUGCAAAAACUGUAUUAAGUGUGGUUCGAGUUUGAGGAUGGUUUUGUCUUCAAAUCCGUUCUUGAUUUUGGCUGCAUCCAAAAAAGGUAAGCAGGUAGACGGGUCCGGUUCUUAGAAGCUUCACCAGCGGUUCACAGAGAGUGCUCCAGUCAUUCCGGAGCCACUGUUUAUUGACUUAUGAGCUCGAGAAGUAGACGUUGGACGUUUAGGAAGACUUCCAGGUAUGGGUAGACUGGCUGGUGACCUUUCAUCUUAGGAUCUCUUGUUCAGCCUGAGUUAGAGUGCUCCAUUGUUCUGGAGCUAUCGAGUUCAUCUUGGUACUUGAUCUUUUGGAUAUUGAUUUGCGUAUUCAGGGGUACAGUGGGGCCCUGUCUCGUCUUAUGAUACAGUUAUAAUCUUUAGAGGUCUGUAGAUAUUCGUGGGUCUUAUAUAUGUUAGCUAAUUGAGUCAACAUGGUUUUUGAUAUACUUUGUAUAUAUUUGGCAGCCUCGUCGGCUUGCUUACUUAUU
Lycium barbarum (goji berry) is the source of this 693-nucleotide long non-coding RNA. RefSeq lists it as uncharacterized. The record is from RefSeq and is a predicted model, not a curated record. NCBI's taxonomy places the organism in Eukaryota, Viridiplantae, Streptophyta, Magnoliopsida, Solanales, Solanaceae. The transcript has 5 exons.